This 253-nucleotide ribosomal RNA is filed under the name uncultured bacterium. RNAcentral describes it as "partial 16S ribosomal RNA". It matches the Rfam family "Bacterial small subunit ribosomal RNA", at positions 524 to 776 of the family's 1533-position model. The record is from RNAcentral.
UUCAGGGGGUGCAAACGUUGCUCGGAAUUAUUGGGCGUAAAGCGCGCGUAGGCGGCUACUUAAGUCGGAUGUGAAAGCCCUUGGCUCAACUGAGGAAGUGCACCCGAAACUGAGUGGCUAGAGUACGAAAGAGGGUCGCGGAAUUCCCGGUGUAGAGGUGAAAUGCGUAGAUAUCAGGAGGAACACCUGCGGUGUAGACGGCUUACUGGACCAUAACUGACGCUGAGGCACGAAAGCGUGGGUAGCAAACAGG